AUAUUGCAUUCCACUUUGGCACAACACAGGAGCAGAAAAUGAGAUAAGAAUUGCUUUGAUCAUCCUUUUCUCUGCUUCGCUCACUGCUUCUCUCAGGUUCAGAGAACGUGAAUCCCACACCAGGGUUAUUUCCUGAUCCAUUUAUUUUUAACCUUGGACACUCAAAUCCUUUAGGGUAAACUUACAAGGAAUCCAAAGACGGGUAUAAGGUGAAUGCUCUUUAACUAUUGCAGCAAUCCCAAAGCUGUUUCAUCCUCCUGAGAUGUGAAUUUCACUUUGUGGUCCAGGUGCACAACAAUGUGAAGCCAAUACUCACUCGUCUUUUCUACAUAGCUUAUAUCAUGGCAUAUACUUCCAUGUGUUUUAUUCUACUGCACAUCACUAAUGGGAAAAACUGUCACAACUGAAGAAGGAUUUGCAGAAACUAGCUGAUCAUUAAGUAGGUUCUGUUUGGAUGUUAAUCACUUUAGUGAGCAUGCAAAACAUCAAGCCUCAUGGAUUACAAGGAGAGAACAAUGCCUAGGCAUCUGGAUUCAGAGAGAUGGCCCCUUGCUCAGCUCUGUCAUUACUGAGAUCUAAAAAUGAGAAACUUUAUCACAAACAUUUACAUUAGUAAAGACUAGAUGGCUGCUCUUCUGGGGUGCUUAAGACUGUGACCCACAAUUCAGGAAUCUAAAUUUUAUUUAUGUGCUAUUUUAGAAACUGAUGGUUCUUUUUUCAUUGUAAAAGUGCUACUCAUCAUUUUAAACACCCAUCAGAGCCAAUAGGAACAUGAUACAAGCUUGCUCUGCCAUUGCCAAGCACAAGUCAUCAGCGAUGUGUUCAAAUGUCUUCUGAACUCAGUUUUUAUUUUUAUUAUCCUUUCCCUGGUUAUCAUUAUUACCCUGAUUUGUCUGGUUCCCAUGACAAAAUUCUUGGCACCUAAGAUUAAGUCUGUAUGGCAUUAUAAACCCAAGUGUAUCUUGUGUCUUUUUAUGUGUAUCUUUUAUCUAUCUUUUUAAUGUGUAACACAUAAUAGCAUCUCUAGGAUAAUACAAGUGGCAGUUUCACCACUGACUACCUUCCAGAUGGAAUAUAAAACAACUUGACUAAACAAGGAAUUUUUUUAUUAUUGAGGCAGCUUCUUUAUUCUCUGUAUGGAGAUUGUCAUCUCAAGAACUCUAACACCCAUUGGUACUUUCUGAUAGUUUUUAGGGGGUUAUCUUAGGGAGCUGAUAAAGUCACUAAAAAAACCUGUCCUCCCUUAACAGCUCCAAACUCUAAUACUUUAAACUGUGGUUUUUGGUUUUGGCUUGAGAUUUUUGGGUUUUUUUGGUUUGGUUUUUUGUUUGCUUUUUUAAUUAAAAACUCAUCAGAUUUACAAGCUGCAUUUCAGAUUUCUCAUUAGCAGCCACAAAGGGGCACAGCAGCCGGCACACUUUGCAACACUAAAAGAAACUUCCUUGAUGUCCUCAAAGGAAGCACCUUUUCAGAAGCUCUAACCCUGCACCUCUGCCCUACAAGAUUCUGAAGCUGAAGAAGAGCAGUUACGAAUCACAAGAAGAUAUCUGUGGUAUCAUUAAGUAUCAUCUGGAAAGCUCAUUCAACCCUAUACCUUAAUGCUAGAGUACUUCUGCAGAAAUGUUUCAGGCAUACUUUUGAUCAAACCCAGGCCAGCACUGGCUCUGAGGCUGGUCUGAGGAACAUGGAUAUGAAGUCCAGAUCAUUCCUUGACCUCAUGUGAAUUUGCUUCAUAUUCUAUCAAUUUGACCAUGCAGGGACUGAAAAGUGUACAUCUUCAAAAGACAUUAUUAUCCAGUUAAGGUUGCUCAGGAAACCCAUCAUCUUUGGUACUACAUAUUUUCUCUAGAGGCUGGACUUUUAAUUUUUUUUCCUUUUUGCUUGGUUUCUCUCAGCAAAAAUUCUCUGGACCAAGAAAUAUUUGCUUCAGGGAAUGCCUCUUUAAAGGUAUAUGCAGCUAAAUAUUCUCUCUUACUCAUAUUCCCUGCUAGGCAUUCCUCUGUUCAUUUUUUCUAACUAAAGGAUAUCACAUAUAUAUAUAAUGAAAAGUUCAGUGAUUAGAAUAUUUCCUAGGGAGGCACAGGAGAUGGGUUGAGAUCCAUUCUUUCUCUCCCUAAUGGACAUAAGAAGUCACAUUUCCUUUUCCUCUUUUUUUUUUUCCUUUUCUCAGAAUAAUGUUCUAAAUAAAGUAUAUCUGCAAUAUGGUAGUACAUUUAUUAUAUCUCUUUGCACUGUCUCACUUUUCUGAGUACUUGUUAGGCAAAAAGCAGCAUGUAGCAAGCUGGUAGAGCUCUCAUAUAGAAUGGGUGAAACCUGACUAUCUAUUAUGGUUUCUUCCCCAUAUUCUGUUUUUAUGAUACACCCAUUUCAACAACCGUUUAGCCAUUUUCCUUACAUUAAAUUAUUGAAACAUUCUUACUAACAAAUUAAACAAAUAAGCUUUCUAUUCAUUCAUAAACCAGUGUGCGACCACAACUGAAUUUCUUAGGUAACGUGAAGUAUUUUCUAUCUCUUUUUUUUCUGCUUUCUUUGCUGGUUAUAACCAGCUCCUUAUAAACACAUACACACACACACACACACACACACACAUAUAUAUAUGUAUGAAGUAUACUAC
This is a long non-coding RNA of Serinus canaria (Common canary), 2614 nucleotides long. RefSeq lists it as uncharacterized. NCBI's taxonomy places the organism in Eukaryota, Metazoa, Chordata, Aves, Passeriformes, Fringillidae. The transcript has 5 exons. The record is from RefSeq and is a predicted model, not a curated record.